UUUGUUACGCUUUUUCUGAAUUGAAAAGACCCCUUUUUUAAUACAUCUGGACAUCAAGGAUCAAUCAUAUGAGAAGGACGUAGCUCUGAAACCUCAGGAACGCGUGGAGAAGCGUCAGAAUCCUCUAGCCAAGAAAAAACGGGAAGCACUUACCAAUGGGCUGUCGUAUCUUCCGAAAAAGAACAGACUUCACCACCACCAGUACAGCUCUGACCGAGAAAAUGAUCGUAAUCUUUGUCAGCACCUUGGGAAAAGGAAGAAAAUACCGAAGGGCCUCAGACAGGGUAGGAUACUGUGAGACUCCCACUUAAAUAACCAGACAGCUGGUUAGAAACAACCAAAUGAGGUGAUUUUCUCCUACUGCAUAUCGCAAAAUUCUGAACCGUGUGCAGCAUCUUAUGGAAACACAAAAAGGUUCAGCUACCUGCGUGACAAAUUCAGGUCCAUCUGUG
Molecule: long non-coding RNA, 452 nt
Filed under: Athene cunicularia (burrowing owl)
Lineage: Eukaryota; Metazoa; Chordata; Aves; Strigiformes; Strigidae
Description: lncRNA (ENSACUG00000009091.1)
Source: RNAcentral